This 1163-nucleotide long non-coding RNA is filed under the name Nicotiana benthamiana. Its description in RNAcentral is "long non-coding RNA (NBEN_LNC007901)". The record is from RNAcentral. Lineage: Eukaryota; Viridiplantae; Streptophyta; Magnoliopsida; Solanales; Solanaceae.
AUUCAAUCAAACUCCUCUGUAUACUUCAAUCAAAUUCUCAAACUUAUUUUCUCCCUUAUGGAUAACAGCAAUGAAAAUCUUGCAAACCAUGAAAUAGCUAUAGUCUUGGUUCCAUUUCCAGCUCAAAGCCAUCUCAAUCAACUUCUCCAACUUGCCUGUAUAAUCACUUCGUCAUAUAAACUUCCGGUAUAUUAUGUUGGUUCAGCCACUCAUAAUCUUCAAGCUCGUGUUCGAGCCAACGCCUUAAAUCCUUCAGACAUAGCCAAAAUCCAUUUCCAUGAUCUCCUAACUCCUGAUUUUGCUUCCCCUAAACCUGAUCCUAAUGCACUUGCUAAUUCUAAGCUUCUGCGUGAGCCUAUUGCUUCUUUCCUUCGAGACAUUUCGUCUAAAUCAAGACGAGUUAUCGUUGUUCAUGAUGUUUUAAUGUCAUGUAAUGUUCAGGAUGUUUCUUCCUUGGAUAAUGUUGAGUCUUAUAUAUUUAACUGUGUAUCUGUUUUCUUUAUGUAUUGUAGUUUUAUAUGCAUACCUAAAGUAGCCAAAAUCCAUUUCCAUCAACUUGCCUGUAUAAUCACUUCGUCAUAUAAACUUCCGGUAUAUUAUGUUGGUUCAGCCACUCAUAAUCUUCAAGCUCGUGUUCGAGCCAACGCCUUAAAUCCUUCAGACAUAGCCAAAAUCCAUUUCCAUAAUCUCCCAACUCCUGAUUUUGCUUCCCCUAAACCUGAUCCUAAUGCACUGAACAAAUUCCCAUCUCAACUUUUCCCAUCCUAUGAUGCUAAUUCUAAGCUUCUGCGCGAGCCUAUCGCUUCUUUCCUUCGAGACAUUUCGUCUAAAUCAAGACGAGUUAUCGUUGUUCACGAUGUUUUAAUGUCAUAUAAUGUUCAGGAUGUUUCUUCUUUGCAUAAUGUUGAGUCCUAUAUAUUUAACUGUGUUUCUGUUUUCUUUAUGUAUUGUAGUUUCAUAUGCUUCCCUAAAGGAAUGCCUAUUCCACUUGAAGAUGAAUUACUUGAAAAGUUACCUUCACUUGAAUCAGAUGCACCUGAAGAGAUUAACAAGUUAGUAACCUUUCAACUACAGUAUAGAGAUAUUAGAUGUGGUGAUUUAUACAAUUCAAAUAAAGUACUUGAAGGUAACUUUCUUGAUUUGAUGGCAAAAUUUGCUAGAAC